Molecule: ribosomal RNA, 468 nt
Filed under: uncultured bacterium
Lineage: Bacteria
Description: partial 16S ribosomal RNA
Rfam family: Bacterial small subunit ribosomal RNA
Source: RNAcentral
GACGAACGCUGGCGGCGUGCUUAACACAUGCAAGUCGAACGGAAAGGCCCUGCUUUUGUGGGGUGCUCGAGUGGCGAACGGGUGAGUAACACGUGAGUAACCUGCCCUUGACUUUGGGAUAACUUCAGGAAACUGGGGCUAAUACCGGAUAGGAGUUCCUGCUGCAUGGUGGGGGUUGGAAAGUUUCGGCGGUUGGGGAUGGACUCGCGGCUUAUCGGCUUGUUGGUGGGGUAGUGGCUUACCAAGGCUUUGACGGGUAGCCGGCCUGAGAGGGUGACCGGCCACAUUGGGACUGAGAUACGGCCCAGACUCCUACGGGAGGCAGCAGUGGGGAAUAUUGCACAAUGGGCGGAAGCCUGAUGCAGCAACGCCGCGUGCGGGAUGACGGCCUUCGGGUUGUAAACCGCUUUCGCCUGUGACGAAGCGUGAGUGACGGUAAUGGGUAAAGAAGCACCGGCUAACUACGUG